Long non-coding RNA from Tachyglossus aculeatus (Australian echidna), 1206 nucleotides. RefSeq lists it as uncharacterized. The record is from RefSeq and is a predicted model, not a curated record. NCBI's taxonomy places the organism in Eukaryota, Metazoa, Chordata, Mammalia, Monotremata, Tachyglossidae. The transcript has 3 exons.
GGUACCUCUAAACAAUACUGUGUGUUCAAACGGGAUGGACUGACCCGUCCCACAACACCACAAACACAAUCGCCGUUGUAGCAACAGAAGCUGAGUCAUCUGAGUCAUCCACAGUACUCAUUGAGUACUUGGUAAAUGUGCAACACCGUACUGAGCGCCUGGGAAACUACUACAGGGUGUAAAUCUCUCCUUGACUUGAAACCUCAUCUGUACAACAUUGCCAGAUGAUUCCUCCCCUGAUGCGUCAUGGUUCCUACUUCAAUGGGUGUAAUUUAUAUCUAUUAUCUGCCUUCUCUAUGUUGUAAGCUCAAAAUGGGCAGGGAACCUGUCGAUUGUGAUACUGUGCUUGGUGUAUGCAAAAUGCUGGGUAAAUACAAGUGACUGAAAUGGUGGUCCUCAGCAAUCAAGGUCUCUUCUCUUCUCCUCUCCCCCCCCCCACCGCCCGUUCUCCUCAUUAUACAGUGCUCCGUCAAGUACUGUGCCAUAAACAUUACUGAUGUCUUUAUGCAAUACUACCGUCCUUCACUCGAAGUACUCACUUAUUCUGUGUUCUCGUACUGCCGAUCGGAGCUGAUGUUUGGUUCAGCGAGCAUUACUUCAUGUACUGACCUUGUGUAUGCCAUUCUGCCUGUCUACAUUAAUGUCUGUCACAGACCAGAUGCUUCUUAGGAGCAGGGGCCAUGUAUGUUAUGUAGUGUUGAACUCUUGGAACCGUUUAUACUGUGUUUUCUUGACGAAGUCCAUGCUUCCCUCUGUAGACUUGUUUUGGGCGGGGCAGGUGUCUGUUAAACUUCUCUAAUGUAUGCUCCCCAGGGGUUAUAACGUACACACAGUAAGAGCUCAAAUCGUGUAACCUGACAGACUGACUUAGAUUGUGAGAUCCCAGUGGACAGGGACUGUGUCUUUUAGCACCAGCUGGCCAAAGAGGGGGCUUAAAGGUGUGUGGGCUUAUUCAAGUCCGACCAAACUUGGAGCGGCGAAGAUGGACAAGCAUGCAGGAGCAGACUGGCGCUGGUCCAUAAUUUCAGGGCCUUGGCUGCAGGAAGAGAAAAGGCAGAAGUCCCAGCUUCUUUCUGCCCCCCUGGAGAAGUCUUCCAGACCAGCCUACUCAGAGGACCAAGGAAGCAGCUGGAGCCCUCGAUGCAUAAUGGGAGAGCUGGCCCCAUCAUCCAUCCCUGCCUCUCCAAGGACAUCAGGGUUCGGACA